CCUACGGGAGGCAGCAGUGGGGAAUAUUGGACAAUGGGCGAAAGCCUGAUCCAGCAAUGCCGCGUGAGUGAUGAAGGCCUUAGGGUCGUAAAGCUCUUUUACCAGGGAUGAUAAUGACAGUACCUGGAGAAUAAGCUCCGGCUAACUCCGUGCCAGCAGCCGCGGUAAUACGGAGGGAGCUAGCGUUGUUCGGAAUUACUGGGCGUAAAGCGUGCGUAGGCGGUUAUUCAAGUCAGAGGUGAAAGCCCGGGGCUCAACCCCGGAACGGCCUUUGAAACUAGAUAACUAGAAUCUUGGAGAGGUCAGUGGAAUUCCGAGUGUAGAGGUGAAAUUCGUAGAUAUUCGGAAGAACACCAGUGGCGAAGGCGACUGACUGGACAAGUAUUGACGCUGAGGUACGAAGGCGUGGGGAGCAAACAGGAUUAGAUACCCUGGUAGUCCACGCCGUAAACGAUGAUAACUAGCUGUCCGGACACUUGGUGUUUGGGUGGCGCAGACUACGACAUUAAGUUAUACCGUCCGUCGGGUAGGUACGGUCGCGAAGAAUUAAACGUUAAAGGUAAGUUAGUACGGCGUGAGACGUGCCGACGGACGACGACGAGGGAGUAGG
This 610-nucleotide ribosomal RNA is filed under the name uncultured bacterium. RNAcentral describes it as "bacterial SSU rRNA". The stretch from base 1 to 520 matches the Rfam family "Bacterial small subunit ribosomal RNA", at positions 338 to 873 of the family's 1533-position model. The record is from RNAcentral.